GGAGGAGUGGCAGAGUGGUUGAAUGCACCGGUCUUGAAAACCGGCGUGCGUGGAAGCGUACCGUGGGUUCGAAUCCCACCUCCUCCGCCA
RNAcentral lists this transfer RNA (90 nucleotides) under Boseongicola sp. RNAcentral's name for it is "tRNA-Ser". It matches the Rfam family "tRNA". From Rfam's summary of the family: Transfer RNA (tRNA) molecules are approximately 80 nucleotides in length. Their secondary structure includes four short double-helical elements and three loops (D, anti-codon, and T loops). Lineage: Bacteria; Pseudomonadati; Pseudomonadota; Alphaproteobacteria; Rhodobacterales; Paracoccaceae. The record is from RNAcentral.